GCUGGGUGUAGCAGUGCACGCCUGUAAUCCCAGUGGCUUGGGAGGCUGAGGCAGGAGAAUUGAGAGUUCAAAGCCAGCCUCAGCAAAAGCAAGACACUAAGCAACUCAGUGAGACCCUGUCUCUA
RNAcentral lists this small RNA (125 nucleotides) under Marmota monax (woodchuck). Lineage: Eukaryota; Metazoa; Chordata; Mammalia; Rodentia; Sciuridae. The record is from RNAcentral.